UCCCUCUUAGCUCAGUUGGUAGAGCGCGUCACUAGUAAUCACAUGACAUCAAGUCAUGUGACCCAAUGACGAGGUCAGUCGUUCAAAUCGGCUAGCGGGAA
Non-coding RNA from Cristinia sonorae, 101 nucleotides. The record is from the annotation of a GenBank genome assembly. NCBI's taxonomy places the organism in Eukaryota, Fungi, Basidiomycota, Agaricomycetes, Agaricales, Stephanosporaceae.